This 638-nucleotide ribosomal RNA is filed under the name uncultured bacterium. RNAcentral's name for it is "bacterial SSU rRNA". It matches the Rfam family "Bacterial small subunit ribosomal RNA", at positions 83 to 737 of the family's 1533-position model. The record is from RNAcentral.
UUUCUCGAGCGAGUGGCGAACGGGUGAGUAACGCGUGAGGAACCUGCCUCAAAGAGGGGGACAACAGUUGGAAACGACUGCUAAUACCGCAUAAGCCCACGGUGCCGCAUGGCACAGAGGGAAAAGGAGCAAUCCGCUUUGAGAUGGCCUCGCGUCCGAUUAGCUAGUUGGUGAGGUAACGGCCCACCAAGGCAACGAUCGGUAGCCGGACUGAGAGGUUGAACGGCCACAUUGGGACUGAGACACGGCCCAGACUCCUACGGGAGGCAGCAGUGGGGAAUAUUGCACAAUGGGGGAAACCCUGAUGCAGCGACGCCGCGUGGAGGAAGAAGGUCUUCGGAUUGUAAACUCCUGUUGUUGGGGAAGAUAAUGACGGUACCCAACAAGGAAGUGACGGCUAACUACGUGCCAGCAGCCGCGGUAAAACGUAGGUCACAAGCGUUGUCCGGAAUUACUGGGUGUAAAGGGAGCGCAGGCGGGAAGACAAGUUGGAAGUGAAAUCUAUGGGCUCAACCCAUAAACUGCUUUCAAAACUGUUUUUCUUGAGUAGUGCAGAGGUAGGCGGAAUUCCCGGUGUAGCGGUGGAAUGCGUAGAUAUCGGGAGGAACACCAGUGGCGAAGGCGGCCUACUGGGCACC